UACGAAGGUCCCAAGCGUUAUCCGGAUUUAUUGGGUUUAAAGGGUGCGUAGGCGGGCUAUUAAGUCAGUGGUGAAAGCCCCAAGCUUAACUUGGGAACUGCCAUUGAUACUGAUGGUAUUGAGUACAUUUGAGGUGGGCGGAAUGUGUCAUGUAGCGGUGAAAUGCUUAGAUAUGACACAGAACACCGAUUGCGAAGGCAGCUCACUAAACUGUAACUGACGCUGAGGCACGAAAGCGUGGGGAGCAAACAGG
This 253-nucleotide ribosomal RNA is filed under the name uncultured bacterium. RNAcentral's name for it is "partial 16S ribosomal RNA". It matches the Rfam family "Bacterial small subunit ribosomal RNA", at positions 524 to 776 of the family's 1533-position model. The record is from RNAcentral.